AUAUAAUUUUAGCUGUGAUAUCACUAAAAUAAUCCCAUGAUAUUUUUUUUAUAGCUGAGCUUGAAGGACAUGUGUAUCAAGCGAGCUAGUUCUUUAAAUUCUGUUUAUCUGGUGAGGAAUCGGGUUAAGGGUCUGAGGCAAGAUAAAGGCUCUAACCAUUGAAUUUCUAGGAUGGGGGUUGGAAGAUUAAUUCUGAACCCGAGCAUACACAAAUGCUAGUUGCAUGUGAUGGAUAUUAUACAUUUCAUAUGCUCCCAUGCAUUCUUUGUCAAAUUGAUGUUGUAAAAAAACUAUAAUUGCACACAAUAACUGCAUUGUAUUAGUUUCAAAUUGUAACCAUUAUCAUUAUAACCACGUAUCAUUAAAGGUUCCCAUUUUUUAAUGUUUAACUAUCAGUUGUUUCAACAUAAAUCCCAAGCGAGUGAAACUGUAUAAUUAUCUUAUGGUUUUGUCUGUGUGAUUGGCAGUUGUUUAAAGGGUGGUGUCAGGAAGGGUGCAUUGGUUUUAACUGGAGGUGGGAGGGAGGAAAAUACAUUGUUUUCCUGUCGAUUUAGACACUGCAGCAGCAGUCCUCUUUAACGUAUCGAGCAGACUCUGGGCGCUGGACAGAGGGGUGUGGCCUACUUCAUUUGAAUGUUGGGAACAGCAAGAGUCCAGUGACUCGGGGAACAGAUUGGUUUGAUUGUGCUGAGGUAGCAUAGCACGGCUGAAAGCAUUUGUGAAGGACUGUGAAGGAAUCAAUGACUGUGGCUGGAGACAGUACUGCCACUUUCAAAGUCUUCCUCAAAUUUAUUCUAGCAACAGAUUCUUAGCUUUUGUUUCCUGCUGAUUCCAGAGAGGAAAGAGAGCCGACAUCACUUUGUCUCACCCAGCUGUGAUUAGCCAACCCGUCUUUACUGACAGUUACAUUGACAAUGAGAUUACGACUACUACCUUUCCAGGAACUAUGGGUUUUUCUCUUUGUCAGUCGUGAUUUAAACUAGAGAGCUCUAGUUUAAUUUAAACGAAGCACCUGGCCAUUUUAUGUGUGUGGCUACUGAUUUACUGAGAAUAUCUGGACAGAAUUGCCCGAUUCAAUAAGUCAAUGUGUGGCUGUGGUUGCGGUAUCAUUUCUUCUUUAAUGAAGAGGCUGGGACGCCCAAACUGCUGCAAAGAUAUUUUUCCUUGCAGUUUUACAUCAGGGCAACUGGAAAGACUUUCUAAUGGUUUGCUCAACCAUCAAAAGUCCAAGGAUGGUUUACCAUCAUCAGCGCAACUAGGAUCAAUCAAUAUGCAGUGAUCUUCUUGAUUGGUGUCUCAACAUAAUUUCAGAAUCUCGGGACUUUCCAAACAAACAACUUCAAAGCAGUUUUCUCAAUGGAUUUUUAACGAUAUUUUACGAUCGGAUUAUGAGUCGUGAAAGCCAGGAAGUUCAUAGUAAAGUGUUUUGCUUUAAAUUCGACUCCGAGCCUUAAGUGCAUUGGAGCAUUUCAAUGGCCCGCCUUAGCAUUCAGCAACAAAGGAGAUGAAAUAUCAGCUAAGAUAAAAGCCUAUUAUAUAUUUUUUACUUGGAUACUGACAGCCUUUGUACAAAUGGCACAUAAGGCAAGAUAGAGAUUCCAUGUGAUUGUUUAUAUUAAUAAAACAAAAAUAAAUAAAUUGGUUGAAAUCAA
This is an RNA transcript of Amblyraja radiata (thorny skate), 1652 nucleotides long. It is a transcript of the gene named F-box/WD repeat-containing protein 7-like, with no coding region annotated. The record is from RefSeq and is a predicted model, not a curated record. The transcript is spliced from 3 exons. Lineage: Eukaryota; Metazoa; Chordata; Chondrichthyes; Rajiformes; Rajidae.